GGGAACAACAGCUGGAAACGGCUGCUAAUACCCCAUAGGCUGAGGAGCAAAAGGAGGAAUCCGCCCAAGGAGGGGCUCGCGUCUGAUUAGUUAGUUGGUGAGGCAAUGGCUUACCAAGGCGACGAUCAGUAGCUGGUCCGAGAGGAUGAUCAGCCACACUGGGACUGAGACACGGCCCAGACUCCUACGGGAGGCAGCAGUGGGGAAUUUUCCGCAAUGGGCGAAAGCCUGACGGAGCAAUGCCGCGUUUAGGCUUAAGGCCCACGGGUCAUGAACUUCUUUUCUCGGA
RNAcentral lists this ribosomal RNA (289 nucleotides) under uncultured organism. Its description in RNAcentral is "partial 16S ribosomal RNA". It matches the Rfam family "Bacterial small subunit ribosomal RNA", at positions 139 to 443 of the family's 1533-position model. The record is from RNAcentral.